Molecule: transfer RNA, 71 nt
Filed under: Nematostella vectensis (starlet sea anemone)
Lineage: Eukaryota; Metazoa; Cnidaria; Anthozoa; Actiniaria; Edwardsiidae
Rfam family: tRNA
About the family: Transfer RNA (tRNA) molecules are approximately 80 nucleotides in length.
Source: Rfam by way of RNAcentral
GCGGAUGUAGCUCAGUGGUAGAGCGUCCUCUUUGCAUGCGGAAUGCCCGGGGUUCGAACCCCGCAUCUCCA